RNAcentral lists this transfer RNA (63 nucleotides) under Lamellibrachia columna. Its description in RNAcentral is "tRNA-Lys". Lineage: Eukaryota; Metazoa; Annelida; Polychaeta; Sabellida; Siboglinidae. The record is from RNAcentral.
CACUAGAGAGCUAUCUAGCGUUGGCCUUUUAACCCAAAGAAAAUAUUCCCUUAUUUCUAGUGA